Molecule: long non-coding RNA, 326 nt
Organism: Sitodiplosis mosellana (orange wheat blossom midge)
Lineage: Eukaryota; Metazoa; Arthropoda; Insecta; Diptera; Cecidomyiidae
Exons: 3
Source: RefSeq, a predicted model, not a curated record
GGUUACAUGGAUGUCGUUGCAAAGCUCAUCGAGAAAGGAGCCAAUAUUGAUGCUAUAGACGAUCUUAAGCGGACACCUCUUCAUCUUGCUGCUAUGAAUGACAACUUAAAUAUCGUUGAACUUCUUGUCGACAAUGGAGCCAGUGUUACUGCUAGGGACUAUCGUGAUCGGACACCCGGACAGAUAGCUUCUGAUCUUUAUAACAAGGAGGUGGCGGAAUAUCUUUUUAUUGAAUCAUUGGACGGAAACUCAAAACUUUGCUGAAGUGAAAUUUUUAUUCUUUUCUUUGAUUUUUCGUCUAACAAAUAAAGGUUGAGAAUUGGAAA